RNAcentral lists this ribosomal RNA (367 nucleotides) under uncultured bacterium. Its description in RNAcentral is "bacterial SSU rRNA". It matches the Rfam family "Bacterial small subunit ribosomal RNA", at positions 527 to 896 of the family's 1533-position model. The record is from RNAcentral.
GGAGGAUCCAAGCGUUAUCCGGAUUCAUUGGGUUUAAAGGGUGCGUAGGCGGAAUGAUAAGUCAGUGGUGAAAUCCUGCAGCUUAACUGCAGAACUGCCAUUGAUACUGUCAAUCUUGAGUACAUUUGAUGUGGGCGGAAUGUGUCAUGUAGCGGUGAAAUGCUUAGAUAUGACACAGAACACCGAUUGCGAAGGCAGCUCACAAAACUGUAACUGACGCUGAGGCACGAAAGCGUGGGUAUCAAACAGGAUUAGAUACCCUGGUAGUCCACGCUGUAAACUAUGAUUACUCGAUGUUUGCGAUACACUGUAAGCGUCUAAGCGAAAGCGAUAAGUAAUCCACCUGGGGAGUACGCUCGCAAGAGUG